Molecule: ribosomal RNA, 175 nt
Filed under: uncultured bacterium
Lineage: Bacteria
Description: partial 16S ribosomal RNA
Rfam family: Bacterial small subunit ribosomal RNA
Source: RNAcentral
CUCCUACGGAGGCAGCAGUGGGGAAUAUUGGACAAUGGGCGCAAGCCUGAUCCAGCCAUGCCGCGUGAGUGAUGACGGCCUUAGGGUUGUAAAGCUCUUUCGCUCGGGACGAUAAUGACGGUACCGACGACUAACGAAGCCCGGCUAACUUCGUGCCAGCAGCCGCGGUAAUUCC